RNAcentral lists this ribosomal RNA (84 nucleotides) under Crataegus okanaganensis. RNAcentral's name for it is "partial 5.8S ribosomal RNA". It matches the Rfam family "5.8S ribosomal RNA", at positions 73 to 154 of the family's 154-position model. From Rfam's summary of the family: 5.8S ribosomal RNA (5.8S rRNA) is a component of the large subunit of the eukaryotic ribosome. It is transcribed by RNA polymerase I as part of the 45S precursor that also contains 18S and 28S rRNA. Lineage: Eukaryota; Viridiplantae; Streptophyta; Magnoliopsida; Rosales; Rosaceae. The record is from RNAcentral.
UGCAGAAUCCCGUGAACCAUCGAGUCUUUGAACGCAGGUUGCGCCCGAAGCCUUUAGGCCGAGGGCACGCCUGCCUGGGCGUCA